GACGAACGCUGGCGGCGUGCUUAACACAUGCAAGUCGAACGAUAAGGCCCUUCGGGGUACACGAGUGGCGAACGGGUGAGUAACACGUGGGUGAUCUGCCCUGCACUUCGUGAUAAGCCUGGGAAACUGGGUCUAAUACCGGAUAGGACCCUGGGAUGCAUGUCCUGGGGUGGAAAGCUUUUGCGGUGUGGGAUGGGCCCGCGGCCUAUCAGCUUGUUGGUGGGGUGAUGGCCUACCAAGGCGACGACGGGUAGCCGGCCUGAGAGGGUGACCGGCCACACUGGGACUGAGAUACGGCCCAGACUCCUACGGGAGGCAGCAGUGGGGAAUAUUGCACAAUGGGCGCAAGCCUGAUGCAGCGACGCCGCGUGAGGGAUGACGGCCUUCGGGUUGUAAACCUCUUUCAGCACAGACGAAGCGCAAGUGACGGUAGGUGCAGAAGAAGGACCGGCCAACUACGCGCCAGCCGCCGCCGUAA
This 478-nucleotide ribosomal RNA is filed under the name uncultured bacterium. RNAcentral describes it as "partial 16S ribosomal RNA". It matches the Rfam family "Bacterial small subunit ribosomal RNA", at positions 28 to 523 of the family's 1533-position model. The record is from RNAcentral.